RNAcentral lists this ribosomal RNA (420 nucleotides) under uncultured bacterium. RNAcentral's name for it is "bacterial SSU rRNA". It matches the Rfam family "Bacterial small subunit ribosomal RNA", at positions 355 to 774 of the family's 1533-position model. The record is from RNAcentral.
UAAGGAAUAUUGCUCAAUGGGAGAAAUCCUGAAGCAGCAACGCUGCGUGGAGGAUGAAGGGUCUAUGACUUGUAAACUCCUGUAAAGAAGGAAAAAAUUCCCAUUUGAUGGGAGAUGAUGGUACUUCUGGAGUAAGCCCCGGCUAACUACGUGCCAGCAGCCGCGGUAAUACGUAGGGGGCAAGCGUUGUCCGGAUUUACUGGGUGUAAAGGGUGCUCAGGCGGAUUUGUAAGUCAGAGGUGAAAUCUUACAGCUUAACUGUGAAACUGCCUUUGAUACUGCAAGCCUAGAGUAUGGAAGAGAGUGAUGGAAUAUCUGGUGUAGCAGUGAAAUGCGUAGAUAUCAGAUAGAACACCAAUGGCGAAGGCAGUCACUUGAUCCAUUACUGACGCUAAAGCACGAAAGCGUGGGUAGCAAACA